GGUGAGUAACACGUGAGUAAUCUGCCCUGGACUUUGGGAUAGCCACCGGAAACGGUGAUUAAUACCGGAUACGACGACUCCACGCAUGUGGUGGUUGUGGAAAGUUUUUUCGGUUCAGGAUGUGCUCGCGGCCUAUCAGCUUGAUGGUGGGGUAAUGGCCUACCAUGGCUUCGACGGGUAGCCGGCCUGAGAGGGUGACCGGCCACACUGGGACUGAGACACGGCCCAGACUCCUACGGGAGGCAGCAGUGGGGAAUAUUGGACAAUGGGCGGAAGCCUGAUCCAGCAACGCCGCGUGAGGGAUGACGGCCUUCGGGUUGUAAACCUCUUUCAGUACCGACGAAGCGAAAGUGACGGUAGGUACAGAAGAAGCACCGGCCAACUACGUGCCAGCAGCCGCGGUAAUACGUAGGGUGCGAGCGUUGUCCGGAAUUAUUGGGCGUAAAGGGCUCGUAGGCGGUUUGUCGCGUCGGGAGUGAAAACACUGGGCUUAACUCAGUGCUUGCUUCCGAUACGGGCAGACUAGAGGUAUGCAGGGGAGAACGGAAUUCCUGGUGUAGCGGUGAAAUGCGCAGAUAUCAGGAGGAACACCGGUGGCGAAGGCGGUUCUCUGGGCAUUACCUGACGCUGAGGAGCGAAAGUGUGGGGAGCGAACAGGAUUAGAUACCCUGGUAGUCCACACCGUAAACGUUGGGCGCUAGGUGUGGGAUCCAUUCCACGGGUUCCGUGCCGCAGCUAACGCAUUAAGCGCCCCGCCUGGGGAGUACGGCCGCAAGGCUAAAACUCAAAGGAAUUGACGGGGG
Molecule: ribosomal RNA, 803 nt
Filed under: Nocardioides sp. CB 286540
Lineage: Bacteria; Bacillati; Actinomycetota; Actinomycetes; Propionibacteriales; Nocardioidaceae
Description: bacterial SSU rRNA
Rfam family: Bacterial small subunit ribosomal RNA
Source: RNAcentral